GUCGCCCUCGCCACCGCGCUGGUUCGAUGCCGGGCCGUGCGUUUGGCGGUGCACACCCGAGGCCGCUUGGGUACACGCUCCAUGACCGUCGGCCGGAGCGUUUAGAGGAGCCGGGAGUGACUGCCGUUUGCCGCGCACUUUCUGUGACGCACACGCUGAGCUACGUGCUUUCAGUAGUUGGCCUUACUCCUUUAAUCCUGUGAACUCGGAAUUACAUACCCGUAUUUGCCAGAUGAGGACACUACGUGUCUCCAGAGCAGCUCAAUUCCUGGGAAAGAAGUUUCAUCAAAUUUACUACAGUGCUUUAUGAAGCAACACUGUUCUCAGCAUUAUCCUUCUGAACGAAAUGAAGUAAGAAAACAGUGUAAGAGAAUCACAGAACAGCCAGAGUCCUGAUCGAACCAUGCCUGAAUACCACCCCUCCUCUCUACUGUCAAAUGACAAAAAUAAAACAAUCUAGCAACGAG
Molecule: long non-coding RNA, 467 nt
Organism: Vicugna pacos (alpaca)
Lineage: Eukaryota; Metazoa; Chordata; Mammalia; Artiodactyla; Camelidae
Source: RefSeq, a predicted model, not a curated record